This 467-nucleotide ribosomal RNA is filed under the name uncultured bacterium. RNAcentral's name for it is "partial 16S ribosomal RNA". It matches the Rfam family "Bacterial small subunit ribosomal RNA", at positions 28 to 507 of the family's 1533-position model. The record is from RNAcentral.
GACGAACGCUGGCGGCGUGCUUAACACAUGCAAGUCGAACGGAAAGGCCCUGCUUUUGUGGGGUGCUCGAGUGGCGAACGGGUGAGUAACACGUGAGUAACCUGCCCUUGACUUUGGGAUAGCUUCAGGAAACUGGGGCUAAUACCGGAUAGGAGCUCCUGCUGCAUGGUGGGGUUGGAAAGUUUCGGCGGUUGGGGAUGGACCUGCGGCUUAUCAGCUUGUUGGUGGGGUAGUGGCUUACCAAGGCUUUGACGGGUAGCCGGCCUGAGAGGGUGACCGGCCACAUUGGGACUGAGAUACGGCCCAGACUCCUACGGGAGGCAGCAGUGGGGAAUAUUGCACAAUGGGCGGAAGCCUGAUGCAGCAACGCCGCGUGCGGGAUGACGGCCUUCGGGUUGUAAACCGCUUUCGCCUGUGACGAAGCGUGAGUGACGGUAAUGGGUAAAGAAGCACCGGCUAACUACGUG